RNAcentral lists this ribosomal RNA (461 nucleotides) under uncultured Smithella sp. RNAcentral's name for it is "bacterial SSU rRNA". It matches the Rfam family "Bacterial small subunit ribosomal RNA", at positions 920 to 1382 of the family's 1533-position model. Lineage: Bacteria; Pseudomonadati; Thermodesulfobacteriota; Syntrophia; Syntrophales; Smithellaceae. The record is from RNAcentral.
CCCGCACAAGCGGUGGAGCAUGUGGUUAAUUCGAUGCAACGCGAAGAACCUUACCUAGGCUUGACACCCUGGAAUUUUGUGGAAACACAAAAGUGCCUUUCGGGGAACCAGGAGACAGGUGCUGCAUGGCUGUCGUCAGCUCGUGUCGUGAGAUGUUGGGUUAGGUCCCGCAACGAGCGCAACCCCUAUUGUUAGUUGCCAUCAUUCAGUUGGGCACUCUAGCGAGACUGCCGGUAAUAAACCGGAGGAAGGUGGGGAUGACGUCAAAUCAUCAUGCCCCUUAUGACCUGGGCUACACACGUGCUACAAUGGUUGGUACAACGAGUUGCGAGUCGGUGACGGCGAGCUAAUCUCUUAAAGCCAAUCUCAGUUCGGAUUGUAGGCUGCAACUCGCCUACAUGAAGUCGGAAUCGCUAGUAAUCGCGGAUCAGCACGCCGCGGUGAAUACGUUCCCGGGCCUU